RNAcentral lists this ribosomal RNA (426 nucleotides) under uncultured Pajaroellobacter sp. RNAcentral describes it as "bacterial SSU rRNA". It matches the Rfam family "Bacterial small subunit ribosomal RNA", at positions 355 to 774 of the family's 1533-position model. The record is from RNAcentral. Lineage: Bacteria; Pseudomonadati; Myxococcota; Polyangiales; Polyangiaceae.
UGGGGAAUCUUGCGCAAUGGACGAAAGUCUGACGCAGCGACGCCGCGUGGGUGAUGAAGGCCUUCGGGUUGUAAAGCCCUGUGGGGAGAGACGAAUAAGUGUAGCCUAAUACGUUGCAUGAUGACGGUAUCUCCUUAGCAAGCACCGGCUAACUCUGUGCCAGCAGCCGCGGUAAGACAGAGGGUGCAAACGUUGUUCGGAAUUACUGGGCGUAAAGCGUGUGUAGGCGGCCAAGCAAGUCGGAUGUGAAAGCCCCAGGCUCAACCUGGGAAGUGCACCCGAUACUGCCUGGCUUGAGUAUCGGAGAGGUUGGUGGAAUUCUCGGUGUAGAGGUGAAAUUCGUAGAUAUCGAGAGGAACACCGGUGGCGAAGGCGGCCAACUGGACGAAUACUGACGCUGAGACACGAAAGCGUGGGGAGCAAACA